UCUUGAACGCACAUUGCGGCCAUGGGCUAGCUCAUGGCCACGCCUGUCCGAGGGUCGGCUUAUAAACUAUCACGACGCCCAAAAAGUCGUGGCUUGGGUCUUGCCAGCUGACGUGAUUUCCCUAUUGGUGCAAACUAACGGGGUGUCAGAUCUAUGGCGUUUCCCUAAUAAUUCCAGUUACAACUCCUUUUGGCUGAAGGCCAUAUUGGAGGGUGACUGUGGAGUCGUGGCUCAAUGGUAAUGUUUGCGCGCGCUCUGCAUUGUCACCACUGUAUCUGCUAAACGUGAAAUGCUUUCUGCAUUUUACCUGACCUCGGAUCAGACGUGAAUACCCGCUGAACUUAAGCAUAUCACUAAGCGGAGGAAAAGAAACUAACAAGGAUUCCCUCAGUAACGGCGAGUGAACAGGGAAAAGCCCAGCACCGAAGCCUGUGGCCAUUUGGUCAUUAGGCAAUGUGGUGUUUAGGUCGUUCCACAGAAGUUCUGCUCCAUCCUAAGUCCAUCAAUGAGUACGGUAGUACGGACAUGGCCCAU
This 534-nucleotide ribosomal RNA is filed under the name Alloglossidium fonti. RNAcentral's name for it is "eukaryotic LSU rRNA". The stretch from base 309 to 534 matches the Rfam family "Eukaryotic large subunit ribosomal RNA", at positions 1 to 205 of the family's 3401-position model. Lineage: Eukaryota; Metazoa; Platyhelminthes; Trematoda; Plagiorchiida; Alloglossidiidae. The record is from RNAcentral.